Molecule: long non-coding RNA, 755 nt
Filed under: Neogobius melanostomus (round goby)
Lineage: Eukaryota; Metazoa; Chordata; Actinopteri; Gobiiformes; Gobiidae
Description: lncRNA (ENSNMLG00000004773.1)
Source: RNAcentral
AUUAGCUUUGAAGCCCAUUUCAAUGGCUCUGUAAAUGUGACGCACGCGCUUAUCACAAAGGUCAAGUUUGGAAACCUAACAGGAAAUGUAGUCUCAGUUUAGAAACCGCGUCCAUGUAGUUUUCUGAGAAGCUGAGAGCUAAUGGACACGUAAAAGUCUCAUUGUUGAACACUAAAAGUGUGGUCCUUGUUGCGGACGAUUGGUCAUGUCCUGAUCUCGUGACCUCUCAGCAGGUGAUGAGAAUGAUACCGAGGGCAGGGCCAUGGAGGAGCCUUACCCUUGUGAUGACCCAUUAAACACCACAUGGCAUUGGACGGACGAAUGACGCUGCUCCUGCUGCAAUGCACCACGGUACUGCUGUGCGCAGGUGUGUGGGUGCUUCCUGCUCCGUUCAAUCUGACUGUGUCCAGUUACGACUUCAAACACACGGCCCAUUGGACGGCAGCUCCCGGCUCCCCCCAAACCUCACCUAUCAUGUUUAUGCCAAAAUCAAUGAAACGUGGAAAAAGGUGGCUACCAGCAGGACGCUCUGGGCUGAAGUCAGACUGAGGGAAACCGAGUACACUUACACUCUGCAUGUGCGGAGCAGGUGGAACAAGACCCUCUCUCCACCGUCCCAGAAAGUCACUUUCACACCCGACAUGGACAGCCACAGCAAGAAAUGUUAGAUACACGUUUUCUGUCCUCGGUUAAGCACCAAGUCUCUGUAUGGAAUAAGAAAGCAUCAUUUCACUGUGAGAGACAUUUAACACUAG